GUGAGAAAAUAAUGCUGGUGUGGGGGUGUGUUGCUCGAAGGAUUUCAAGGACCAGAACGGGAUUGCUGCUCUCCGAGCAGUUUGAAAUCAUUUCCUCUGAGGGUGCCAACGGAGACCUGAAGGAAAGGUACCAGGAAAACCUUGGAGUCUCGUGGAUUCCAGCAUAAGGAUGAAUGUUUUGGUCCUGAACUCCUUUGGAAAUCUGCCAGGUGGGAAAAAGUCUGUGUGCACACAGAUACUUGGAGAGUCCUUCAGUUUGAAUGUGGGCCUCGGUGCAAGUUCCUCUUGAUACGGAAAUUCACAGGAACGCUGAACUUGAGGAAUAUGAG
Charadrius vociferus (killdeer) is the source of this 329-nucleotide long non-coding RNA. RefSeq lists it as uncharacterized. The record is from RefSeq and is a predicted model, not a curated record. The transcript is spliced from 4 exons. NCBI's taxonomy places the organism in Eukaryota, Metazoa, Chordata, Aves, Charadriiformes, Charadriidae.